CCAUUGAGCUUGAAUAUAUUAAUCUCUGCCAGAGUAUAGACAGACCAAGAACAUAUAAGCUGCUAACAAGUAUCAUAUAUGUCUGUGACUAGGAUGUUAUUAGUGUAUAUUCUAAGAAUGUCCUGAGCAUACCUGACAUCAUGCUUCAUGGUGUCAAAAGAUAAAGAACCAUGCAUUCGAAUUAAGAAUCGAGACUUGCUGGGUGGCAUGGACUGGAUUUUUUUGAUAAGUAAGAUUAAUAUGUGAUUUCAGAACGUUUUGAUGCAAUUAUUAUAAUCUUAAAUCACUAUGAUAUAAUAGAACAGAGGUUUCUGAACACAACCUUUAUUUGAUCAUUUUAGUAUAUAUUUUUUUGCCCAUUCGUAUAUUUAUUUCACCAGGUCAGAAUACUUACAAUGCAUCAAGCUUCAUGUGAAUUACCAGGAAUUCACAAAUGUAUAAAAUAUCAAGGAACUUAGCAUCUAAUGAGGGAGACACAUGUAAAUAAAUAAAGUUUAACUUACGUGAUACAUAAAGUUAAGUGAUCAAUAGUAAUUUUGUCAAGUUACUGUUGUUUCUCAGGUAUUACUGGUUUUAUACAGAAAGCAUUGUAUACAGAAAAUAUAUAAGCAUGGCACAAUAGACCGUCCAGUGUCCUUGUCCCGUCUCAGAGGACUCCGAAUAUCCCCUAUAUCACAAUACAAAUAACAUAGCCGAGGGGUCGAAAAGACAAAACAAUUCCAUGGGAUGAAUUAAAGCAGGCAACUGAUAGGGUUGAGAGCAUAUUCGAGCCUCUGCGUGUCCUCACAUGGCCUCUUCUCUGUACACGUGCAGAAUGAGCCAGCUCCGGUGGCUCUUCCUCUUCUUGUAAUGACAGCAGACCUAUAGGAUUAGGGCCUCACCUUUAUGAUCUCAUGUAACCUUAAUUGCCUCCCUAUGGGACCUGCCUCUGAACACAGACACACUGGAGAUCAGUGCUUCAAAAUAUGAAUUCUGAAGGGAUACAAUUUAGUCAUAACACAUUCCCUAGCCCCCCGCCCCAGCCAUAAUACAUUUACACUCCUGGCCUCCAUAGGCCAUAUGCAUAGUAACACUAAAUUACUCGAGUUACCUGAAUUGCCCACAUUUGUUCCUCCAUGGUGUUGCUUGUGCUUUUCUCUCUGCUAACUUCUCCUUGCUUCCCUGCCUGCCAAACCUUCAGCUCAACCUUAUCUGUGAAGCUUUCCCUGACUUUAGGAAGAAUUAUUGUAACUCGUAUAUAAUAUCCAGUAUGGCAUUAUCAUAUUAAAUAUUUGAUGGUAGAUGCUCAAUACAUAUUAAUAUUUUUGAACAUAUGAAUGACUUAAUAUUUGACAAGACUUCCCAAUAUUGCUGAACUCUGAAGCCAGUUCCCCAUUAAGUUAUAUUCAUGGAAUACUGCUAUGCAAUUAUGUCUUUCCCUCCAAACUUGAUAUAUGAAGUAAGAGACAGGGGCUUUUGCCUAAGACUUUCAGGGAGAAAUUUAAUUGAGGAAGUAUCUAAUAAUAAACAUUAUUGCUAAUUUUAUAUUUUCAGUCCGUAUCUCAAUCUUAUUUCCUGAAGAUGAAGAAUUUUUAGUUAGGAAAGACAGUGAUGUUAUUUAAAAUAAAAAGGAUAAAACAGGCACAUCUGGGAAACCCAGACUCCCUAAUGAUGUGGAACACCUUCUCCAAAAUGACCUAUAAAUCCAUUGUAGCAUUACUCAAACCCUGCUUAGUGUCCCCUUGGAUUGCUGCAGUCCAUACAAUUUCAGGUCAUAGAUCAGUGUAUAUUCCAGAUAUUGAGGGUGCAAUCAGAUUUUCAAGUUCAUACCCUGUGUUCACUGCCUAGCACUGUCAAUUGGAACAUAUGGCCCAGAUAAUAGAAAAAUUUAGGUGCUAACACCUCACUAAUAAAAGGAACUGUCCAAUGACCUUGAUAAUGUGGAACUCAUAACAUCUCAUUGUACUUACAAUGUAACAGGUGACUUACUGACAUGGAUGAUACUUCUUAUGAUCUGAAACAGGCAGUCUGAGCUUAGAAAUAAAUAUUAGCUGUGUUACCUUAGGCAAAUUUGUUACUCUGUGGCUCCCUUUCCUCAUCUUAAAACAGAAAUAAAGCCUACCUCUCAGGACCACUGUGAAGAUUAAAUGAAUUAAUAUAUGCAAAAUACUUAGAAUAGUAUCUGACAUUUAGUAAACAUUGAAAUGUUAGCUAUUAUGAUUAUUAUUGAAGUGUUGCUUACUUAGAAUUUGUCCUACUUAAGUGUACUCCAAUGAACAAGCCUGCAGUCUUAGAAUUCCACAUAGACUUCAAAGAUUACAACCAACCAGGGAAGGAUACUUCUCAUAUGAAAACCAAAACCCAUCAACUCCAUUAGCUAUUAUUCUUUUAGAGUUGAAAAUAUUUGUACAAUGCUGCUAUUAGGGUGUUUCUUUAGAAAAGACAGUAUAUAAUCUUUCAAUGCAUACAUAGAAUUCUCAAAUUUCUAGAAUUACAAGUCAUAUAUAAAUUCUAAAAACAUCUGAGGAUAUUAAUUUUCAAGACCCAUAACUGGAGUCUUUUUCUUGGUGUAGUCCUGAUGUCAGUAAACUUCCUAGGCCAUGCUAACCAUGGGAACUAUUCUUGGCUUGCAGCUCCAGUUCAGCAGUGAUUUGGUGAGAUAUCUGUGGCAAUCAUUGUCAGCAGAACCUUAUUUCUUCUUCUCCCUCUGCCGCAUUGACAAAACACCGUUAUCAGUUUCACUUGGGCUGGUCACAAAAACUUGGAAACAUUGUACUUCAGUCUAAGUGAGAGAGGAAUUCGGCAACUUUCCCUACUGCAGUACAUGAUUACUCAUUCCUUUCAGGCAUUCAGGUGAAAAAUCUGGAGUCAACCUUUACUCCUUCUCUUAUGUUCGUACCUCACAUCCAGUUUACAGAAAUCCUGUGGCUCUACCUAAAAAAAAGCCGCCAGAAACCAAUCCCGUUUUAUUACCUCCAAGGCUACUCCUGGACUAAGACAUCAUAAUAUCUCACCUUGAUUAUUGUAAUACUUUUUUUUU
RNAcentral lists this long non-coding RNA (3019 nucleotides) under Homo sapiens (human). Its description in RNAcentral is "HSALNT0114461". Lineage: Eukaryota; Metazoa; Chordata; Mammalia; Primates; Hominidae. The record is from RNAcentral.